AGAGUUUGAUCAUGGCUCAGGACGAACGCUGGCGGCGUGCUUAACACAUGCAAGUCGAACGGGGUUUUUAUUCGGUAAACACCAAGUGGCGAACGGGUGAGUAACGCGUAAGCAAUCUACCUUCAAGAUGGGGACAACACUUCGAAAGGGGUGCUAAUACCGAAUGAAUGUAAGAGUAUCGCAUGAGACACUUACUAAAGGAGGCCUCUGACAUAAGCUUCCGCUUGAAGAUGAGCUUGCGUCUGAUUAGCUAGUUGGUGAGGGUAAAGGCCCACCAAGGCGACGAUCAGUAGCCGGUCUGAGAGGAUGAACGGCCACAUUGGGACUGAGACACGGCCCAGACUCCAACGGGAGGCAGCA
RNAcentral lists this ribosomal RNA (360 nucleotides) under uncultured bacterium. Its description in RNAcentral is "bacterial SSU rRNA". It matches the Rfam family "Bacterial small subunit ribosomal RNA", at positions 8 to 353 of the family's 1533-position model. The record is from RNAcentral.